AACGAACGCUGGCGGCAUGCCUAACACAUGCAAGUCGAACGAGACCUUCGGGUCUAGUGGCGCACGGGUGAGUAACGCGUGGAUAACCUGCCCUGGUAUCUGGGAUAACAUCUCGAAAGGGGUGCUAAUACCGGAUAAGCCCUCGGGUCCCUCGGGAUCUGCGGGAAAAGGUGGCCUCUGUCUCAAGCUACCGUAUCAGGAUGGGUCCGCGUACCAUUAGCUAGUUGGUAGGGUAAUGGCCUACCAAGGCGACGAUGGUUAGCUGGUCUGAGAGGAUGAUCAGCCACACUGGAACUGAGACACGGUCCAGACUCCUGCGGGAGGAAGCAGUGGGGAAUUUUGCGCAAUGGGGGAAACCCUGACGCAGCAACGCCGCGUGAGUGAUGAAGGCCUUCGGGUCGUAAAGCUCUGUCGGAGGGGAAGAAAUGACGAGGUGCUAAUACCAUCUCUUCUUGACGGUACCCUCAAAGGAAGCACCGGCUAACUCCGUGCCAGCCGCCGCGGUAA
This 507-nucleotide ribosomal RNA is filed under the name uncultured bacterium. Its description in RNAcentral is "partial 16S ribosomal RNA". It matches the Rfam family "Bacterial small subunit ribosomal RNA", at positions 29 to 523 of the family's 1533-position model. The record is from RNAcentral.